UACGGAAGGGGCGAGCGUUGUUCGGAAUCAUUGGGCGUAAAGGGCGCGUAGGUGGUUCUGUGUGUCUACUGUGAAAGCGUACAGCUCAACUGUAUUGUGUCGGUAGAAACUGCAGGACUUGAGGCUGGGAGGGGCUGGUGGAAUUCCCUGUGUAGCGGUGAAAUGCGUAGAGAUGGGGGAGAACACUCGUGGCGAAGGCGGCCAGCUAGACCAGUUCUGACACUGAGGCGCGACAGCGUGGGGAGCAAACAGG
RNAcentral lists this ribosomal RNA (253 nucleotides) under uncultured bacterium. RNAcentral describes it as "partial 16S ribosomal RNA". It matches the Rfam family "Bacterial small subunit ribosomal RNA", at positions 524 to 776 of the family's 1533-position model. The record is from RNAcentral.